CUGGAAUUCAUGGUGCCUUUCUUUGGUCUACACUCUUUGCAGCAUUGGCCAAAGCUAAAAUCCAGCUGCCUAUCGGGGGUGACAGAUGUGGACCUUUCAACAUCUCUAUUCAUGCUUUUUGCCACAGAAGCGAAACGUUGCCAUUGUCUUGGUUCUUGAAAAUCUUCAUUCUUCUGCAACUCUGAAAAUUAAAGCAAGGAUAAUUUGAAAAUGGAUGCUUAAGUUUAAUAGGCACUAACAUCAAGGCAAUCCAAGAAGCAGCAGGGAUGCCCAAACAUGAUCUGACAGUUAUCCUAUGUUGUAAUAAUGCCAUAAUUCUUUUUGUCAUUUAUUCAGUGAAUAGUUCUUGGUGGCCUGCAGCAAAACCCCUAUGGCUUGUUGAUGGUAUUCAUUAAAUUAAAUGUUCAGUGACUACUAGCAA
Molecule: long non-coding RNA, 421 nt
Organism: Python bivittatus (Burmese python)
Lineage: Eukaryota; Metazoa; Chordata; Lepidosauria; Squamata; Pythonidae
Source: RefSeq, a predicted model, not a curated record